Molecule: ribosomal RNA, 150 nt
Filed under: uncultured Pseudomonas sp.
Lineage: Bacteria; Pseudomonadati; Pseudomonadota; Gammaproteobacteria; Pseudomonadales; Pseudomonadaceae
Description: partial 16S ribosomal RNA
Rfam family: Bacterial small subunit ribosomal RNA
Source: RNAcentral
GGUGGUUUGUUAAGUUGGAUGUGAAAGCCCCGGGCUCAACCUGGGAACUGCAUCCAAAACUGGCAAGCUAGAGUACGGUAGAGGGUGGUGGAAUUUCCUGUGUAGCGGUGAAAUGCGUAGAUAUAGGAAGGAACACCAGUGGCGAAGGCG